UGGCCCAAAGGUUUGAAUAAUUAAAUUCAAACCUAUAGUUUUUUUUAAUAUAAUUUUGGGACCACAAUCCCAUUUUUAUAUUAUUUUUCUCUCUUUCUCUCACGUUGCUCAGCGUUUUCUCGCAAGGGGGGAUUAUUUUUUUUUUCUUCAGAUUGUGUUGACAAAGAUAGUGGUGAAAGAGGAGUUGUGAAGGGGAACUUGUUAUUCAAGACACAAGGAGCGAGUCCGGCCGAGAAAGCACCAGAGGUGUAACUAUGGUGUAUGAGACACCAUCUUUUACGUUGCCUCUUAUUUUGGAUUAUACAAUGUAUCUUGUGCCAACUUAGGACAUAUCUUGUUUGUGGAGCAUGUAAACUCUAAUCCUGUUUAUUAAAUGCAUUUAUAUGUCCAAGAGGAUUAUGUCUGUCCCUUUUGAUUCAUGAUCUGAUUUGAAUAACAUGCUAUGAGGAUCCUGACUGUCCCUCAUGGUUCUAAUUUCUUUUUGAGAUAUUUUAAGACCUGUGGUAUAUUGUCUUGGAUGUAUCAUGGUAAGAAAAUUUUCUACCAUGAUAAUGGUUUUAAUAAUUUGCGAAAAAUCGGUCUGU
Long non-coding RNA from Prosopis cineraria, 584 nucleotides. RefSeq lists it as uncharacterized. The record is from RefSeq and is a predicted model, not a curated record. NCBI's taxonomy places the organism in Eukaryota, Viridiplantae, Streptophyta, Magnoliopsida, Fabales, Fabaceae. The transcript has 3 exons.